RNAcentral lists this ribosomal RNA (451 nucleotides) under Staphylococcus aureus. RNAcentral's name for it is "partial 23S ribosomal RNA". It matches the Rfam family "Bacterial large subunit ribosomal RNA", at positions 2437 to 2889 of the family's 2925-position model. Lineage: Bacteria; Bacillati; Bacillota; Bacilli; Caryophanales; Staphylococcaceae. The record is from RNAcentral.
AAGGGCCAUCGCUCAACGGAUAAAAGCUACCCCGGGGAUAACAGGCUUAUCUCCCCCAAGAGUUCACAUCGACGGGGAGGUUUGGCACCUCGAUGUCGGCUCAUCGCAUCCUGGGGCUGUAGUCGGUCCCAAGGGUUGGGCUGUUCGCCCAUUAAAGCGGUACGCGAGCUGGGUUCAGAACGUCGUGAGACAGUUCGGUCCCUAUCCGUCGUGGGCGUAGGAAAUUUGAGAGGAGCUGUCCUUAGUACGAGAGGACCGGGAUGGACAUACCUCUGGUGUACCAGUUGUCGUGCCAACGGCAUAGCUGGGUAGCUAUGUGUGGACGGGAUAAGUGCUGAAAGCAUCUAAGCAUGAAGCCCCCCUCAAGAUGAGAUUUCCCAACUUCGGUUAUAAGAUCCCUCAAAGAUGAUGAGGUUAAUAGGUUCGAGGUGGAAGCAUGGUGACAUGUGGA